UUAGGGACUUUUUUCGUAUGGCUCCUAUUCCUGUUGGGAAGUAACCUGUUACGAUCAAAACCCAGGUGGUCCUGACACCUCCCUGCCUUUAGGAGUUACAAACGUCCAGUGGGAUCAGACGCUGGGGCAGCCUUUCAGCUUGAGAAGGUUUAAUCUUUCUAUGAAACUUGCAGCUUUCUGGGGAGAAAAAUCCCGGGGAGGGGGACAUGCCAGGCCCAGCAGGGCAGCAGCUGAAGCGCUGGUCUUUCAACUGGAUGUGCCUUUGCAGAGGGACACGCAGUGUAACGCAUGCGGAUUAACUUCAGCAGCGUGCUACUUGCCUGGGAUGAGGAGAAUCAUUUUACUGAUUGUAAAUCCAACCAUACUGAAUCCAGAGUGAAUCGGAGAGACUCCACCUCAAAGCACAGUCUGAAAAAGUAGGCAUCCGUGAGACUGGAACUUGGGCAUCUGAUGGU
Long non-coding RNA from Falco peregrinus (peregrine falcon), 455 nucleotides. RefSeq lists it as uncharacterized. The transcript has 3 exons. The record is from RefSeq and is a predicted model, not a curated record. Lineage: Eukaryota; Metazoa; Chordata; Aves; Falconiformes; Falconidae.